UAAACGUCCCAGUUCGGAUGUAGUCUGCAACCCGACUACAUGAAGCCGGAAUCGCUAGUAAUCGCGGAUCAGAAUGCCGCGGUGAAUACGUUCCCGGGUCUUGUACACACCGCCCGUCACACCAUGGGAGUUGGAAAUGCCCGAAGUCAGUGGCCCAACCGGAAGGGGGGAGCUGCCGAAGGCAGGUUCGAUGACUGGGGUGAAGUCGUAACAAGGUAUC
This 220-nucleotide ribosomal RNA is filed under the name uncultured bacterium. RNAcentral's name for it is "partial 16S ribosomal RNA". It matches the Rfam family "Bacterial small subunit ribosomal RNA", at positions 1277 to 1500 of the family's 1533-position model. The record is from RNAcentral.